UGAGCAACCUACCCUUGACUCCGGGAUAACAGUUGGAAACAGCUGCUAAUACCGGAUACGACCUCGACCGACAUCAGUUGAGGUGGAAAGUUCUGGCGGUCAAGGAUGGGCUCGCGGCCUAUCAGCUAGUUGGUGAGGUAACGGCUCACCAAGGCUUCGACGGGUAGCCGGCCUGAGAGGGCGACCGGCCACACUGGGACUGAGAUACGGCCCAGACCUCCGUACGGGAGGCAGNAGGUAGGGG
RNAcentral lists this ribosomal RNA (244 nucleotides) under uncultured bacterium. Its description in RNAcentral is "partial 16S ribosomal RNA". It matches the Rfam family "Bacterial small subunit ribosomal RNA", at positions 118 to 354 of the family's 1533-position model. The record is from RNAcentral.